GCUCUUAUGGUGUAAAUGGUUAGCACUCUGUGACUCUGAAUCCAGCGAUUCCGGGUUUCAAAUCCCGGUAGGAGCU
This is a transfer RNA of Phytophthora infestans T30-4, 76 nucleotides long. It matches the Rfam family "tRNA". From Rfam's summary of the family: Transfer RNA (tRNA) molecules are approximately 80 nucleotides in length. Their secondary structure includes four short double-helical elements and three loops (D, anti-codon, and T loops). The record is from Rfam. NCBI's taxonomy places the organism in Eukaryota, Oomycota, Peronosporomycetes, Peronosporales, Peronosporaceae.